RNAcentral lists this ribosomal RNA (469 nucleotides) under Streptococcus intermedius. RNAcentral describes it as "bacterial SSU rRNA". It matches the Rfam family "Bacterial small subunit ribosomal RNA", at positions 28 to 473 of the family's 1533-position model. Lineage: Bacteria; Bacillati; Bacillota; Bacilli; Lactobacillales; Streptococcaceae. The record is from RNAcentral.
GACGAACGCUGGCGGCGUGCCUAAUACAUGCAAGUAGAACGCACAGGAUGCACCGUAGUUUACUACACCGUAUUCUGUGAGUUGCGAACGGGUGAGUAACGCGUAGGUAACCUGCCUGGUAGCGGGGGAUAACUAUUGGAAACGAUAGCUAAUACCGCAUAAGAACAUUUACUGCAUGGUAGAUGUUUAAAAGGUGCAAAUGCAUCACUACCAGAUGGACCUGCGUUGUAUUAGCUAGUAGGUGAGGUAACGGCUCACCUAGGCGACGAUACAUAGCCGACCUGAGAGGGUGAUCGGCCACACUGGGACUGAGACACGGCCCAGACUCCUACGGGAGGCAGCAGUAGGGAAUCUUCGGCAAUGGGGGGAACCCUGACCGAGCAACGCCGCGUGAGUGAAGAAGGUUUUCGGAUCGUAAAGCUCUGUUGUUAAGGAAGAACGAGUGUGAGAAUAGAAAGUUCAUACCUGG